Long non-coding RNA from Carassius auratus (goldfish), 305 nucleotides. RefSeq lists it as uncharacterized. Lineage: Eukaryota; Metazoa; Chordata; Actinopteri; Cypriniformes; Cyprinidae. The record is from RefSeq and is a predicted model, not a curated record. The transcript is spliced from 4 exons.
CUUCAUAGAAGCAACGUCAGGGCAAUCUAAUUAACGUUAAAGCAUUUAGCUUUCGCAAUGAUAGGAUAUAAACUCCAUGGAACCCAAAGUCAUCAGAACCACAGACUUGAUCAAGAAUGGGAACUUUAGUAAAUUGCUUGUCUGGGAAAAGCUCUAUUGAAAGUGGAUUAGAGUAUUCAGCUGUCAAAUUUUCCAAAAGCCCAGUUUUGUGACCUAAUUUGCUUUUCAAAUGGUCCAACUCAGUUCCAAAUCUUCAAGAAGCUGUCCCAUGAGCCAGUGCAAACACACAUGCCAUCUGGUGGUAC